Molecule: ribosomal RNA, 497 nt
Filed under: uncultured bacterium
Lineage: Bacteria
Description: partial 16S ribosomal RNA
Rfam family: Bacterial small subunit ribosomal RNA
Source: RNAcentral
GAUGAACGCUGGCGGCGUGCCUAAUACAUGCAAGUCGAGCGAACAGAUGAGGAGCUUGCUCCUCUGACGUUAGCGGCGGACGGGUGAGUAACACGUGGAUAACCUACCUAUAAGACUGGGAUAACUUCGGGAAACCGGAGCUAAUACCGGAUAAUAUAUUGAACCGCAUGGUUCAAUAGUGAAAGACGGUUUUUGUGUCACUUAUAGAUGGAUCCGCGCCGCAUUAGCUAGUUGGUAAGGUAACGGCUUACCAAGGCUACGAUGCGUAGCCGACCUGAGAGGGUGAUCGGCCACACUGGAACGGAGACACGGUCCAGACUCCUACGGGAGGCAGCAGUAGGGAAUCUUCCGCAAUGGGCGAAAGCCUGACGGAGCAACGCCGCGUGAGUGAUGAAGGUCUUCGGAUCGUAAAACUCUGUUAUUAGGGAAGAACAAAUGUGUAAGUAACCAUGCACGUCUUGACGGUACCUAAUCAGAAAGCCACGGCUAACUACGUG